UUUUUUAGUCCUGUAAGUUUGCUAGUUGAGAGUUUUAGUCCACCACGUUUCAAAAUCAGAUUUUUAGUCCUGUAAGUUACAAAAGUUGAGAGUUUUGGUCCUAUGACCUGCUAUAAUAGGUAAUGUGAUGGUUGAUUGAAUGAGUUGGCAUUUAAAAUAUAAAAAUGAAUAGAUUAAAAAUAAAUUAGGUGAUGUAGCUAAUGAGUUGGAAAAUUUUGGAGGAAAAUAAAAUAUACCAUCAAAUUAUUAUUCUUAUUUGAUGAAUGAAAUAAGCAUUUUUG
RNAcentral lists this long non-coding RNA (281 nucleotides) under Erythranthe guttata (spotted monkey flower). RNAcentral's name for it is "long non-coding RNA (EGUT_LNC001882)". The record is from RNAcentral. Lineage: Eukaryota; Viridiplantae; Streptophyta; Magnoliopsida; Lamiales; Phrymaceae.